RNAcentral lists this unclassified non-coding RNA (400 nucleotides) under uncultured fungus. RNAcentral's name for it is "sequence contains ITS1". Lineage: Eukaryota; Fungi. The record is from RNAcentral.
CCGUCAAUUCAUUUAAGUUUUAACCUUGCGGCCGUAGUCCCCAGGCGGUAGACUUACCGCGUUCGCUCCGGCACCGAUGGCUUUUACCCCACCAACACCUAGUCUACAUCGUUUACAGCUAGGACUACCGGGGUGUCUAAUCCCGUUCGCUCCCCUAGCUUUCGCUCCUCAGCGUCAGGCACGGCCCAGGAGGCCGCCUUCGCCUCUGGUGUUCCUCCCGAUAUCUACGCAUUUCACCACUACACCGGGAAUUCCACCUCCCUCUGCCGCCCUCUAGUUGGGUAGUUUUGUACGUCCUCUCCCAGUUGAGCCGGAAGCUUUCACAUCCAACUUGCCCAACCGCCUGCUCGCUCUUUACGCCCAGUGAAUUCGGAUAACGCUCGGUUCCUACGUUUUACCG